GGGAGAGAGCUGAGGGGAGGAAGCCACUGGAUUGAACCCAGGGCCUCUGAAGUGAGGUAGUUACCAAGGCUGGCCUUGAACCUGCAACCACCCUGCCUCAGCCUUCCCAGCUGCCAAGAUUACAUGCACCAUACUUAGCUUUUCAGUAUGAUCCUCAAAUGUUGGCUGACUGCAGACUAGCUACCUCUUGGCAACAGGGAUCGAACUCAGGACCUUGAACUCACCAGCCAGGCAUGGUGCCACUAAGCUACAUCCCUGGCCCUGUUUGUAAUUCUUUUAGAACAUGACAUUUCUCUGACCCAAUUCCAAAUUAUGACACACAUCCAAUUGAAUCCUGCAGCCUCUACACUCUGCUUACAACCUGGCCUUCAAGUGUCUAGAGUCCUUUCAUUCUAGAUCCCAGGGAAGGUUUCCCUGGCAAGAAUCUCUGUCAUCCAGUUCCUGAAUUCCUGCACCUAGAAAAAGAAGACAAUGUUUGCAGUGAUGUCCUAGAUCUGUCUUUUGCCAUCUGGCAGAUAGCCCGAUACCAUCUGGCAAAUCAAGGAUGAUGUCAAACAGUCUAGGGCCUUCCCUUCCAAUCUUCUGUUUCUACAUUUGUUAGAACUUUGAGUGUGGAAAGUAUGAGAAUAUCCUAACC
RNAcentral lists this long non-coding RNA (637 nucleotides) under Heterocephalus glaber (naked mole-rat). RNAcentral describes it as "lncRNA (ENSHGLG00100038369.1)". The record is from RNAcentral. Lineage: Eukaryota; Metazoa; Chordata; Mammalia; Rodentia; Bathyergidae.